GAUGAACGCUAGCGGGAGGCCUAACACAUGCAAGCCGAGCGGUAUUGUUUCUUCGGAAAUGAGAGAGCGGCGUACGGUGCGGAACACGUGUGCAACCUACCUUUAUCUGGAGGAUAGCCUUUCGAAAGGAAGAUUAAUACUCCAUAAUAUAUUGACUGGCAUCAGUUGAUAUUGAAGGCUCCGGCGGAUAAAGAUGGGCACGCGCAAGAUUAGCUAGUUGGUGAGGUAACGGCUCACCAAGGCGAUGAUCUUUAGGGGGCCUGAGAGGUGAUCCCCACACUGGUACUGAGACACGGACCAGACUCCUACGGGAGGCAGCAGUGAGGAAUAUUGGUCAAUGGGUGCAAGCCUGAACCAGCCAUCCCGCGUGAAGGACGACUGCCCUAUGGGUUGUAAACUUCUUUUGUAUAGGGAUAAACCUACUCUCGUGAGGGUAGCUGAAGGUACUAUACGAAUAAGCACCGGCUAACUCCGUGCCAGCAGCCGCGGUAAU
This 493-nucleotide ribosomal RNA is filed under the name uncultured bacterium. RNAcentral describes it as "bacterial SSU rRNA". It matches the Rfam family "Bacterial small subunit ribosomal RNA", at positions 28 to 524 of the family's 1533-position model. The record is from RNAcentral.